Molecule: long non-coding RNA, 3740 nt
Organism: Varroa destructor (honeybee mite)
Lineage: Eukaryota; Metazoa; Arthropoda; Arachnida; Mesostigmata; Varroidae
Source: RefSeq, a predicted model, not a curated record
GCGAGUUACCGUGAGCACAAACAGAUGGCGCCACAAUCAUCGUCACAGUUCCCUUUCCUUCUAGAAGUUCACCACUCUUAAUGCCUUGAUACGAAUGACGGUGGUGAUGCUGAUGAUGUCGCUUACCAGCCGGAGAACCGCGAUGAGGCGGACGCCGGGGCGCCAAAAGAAUAAGUGGAAAACUCUACCAAAACACUUGCCUUCAGACCGUAGCAGCGACAUGCAGUCGCGGUGGACCAACUAAACAGAAACAGUGUUGCAUAAAACGCAACAGCAAUAACGCCGAAACAAACGCCGCACUAAAACGAUCUGUCUAGAGUAUUGGGCUUCUACAGAAAAUAGCCUGGAUAAUGCUGAAAUUGACCCCUUCAGAAUUUUAGCGGAUGCCUCCCUACAAAAUGUGCACGGAUGGAGAUGGCACCGAAGUAACUUUCUUUUUCUUUCGAAACUUUUCAUACUCAUACCCCCCCCGAUAUGUAAGUUUAGCGAUGUGAGAUACGGCCUAUUAAUUUUUCAAUGGGUAUUGGUUCAAUGAUACAGCUAGCUGUUGUGUUGUCGAUGUCAGCCUGACCAGAGUGGAGUCACUAUAUCGACAAACGAGAUGCCAGAUGAAGGUCGACUAAAGUGAAGUCAGACGACAUCUGGCUGGUAGAGACGGUACUCCGGCAUCCGGUCUCGAGACAAGUCGCAUUGAUGAAAACUGUAGACGGAAAGACGUUUUACGUUGUGAUCGAUAACGGCAGGUGAAACGGUCUAGCUCAAACGCGUCUCUGGCGUGUAAGUUAGUCUUGAAGAGAAAAGAACCUUGUGUAGACAUGUAAAGAUACAGAGUUAGGGCGACGAUUGGCAGACGAAGCAAACUUUGCAUGUUGAUAUUAUCGUUAUUAGUGUACAGUGAGUCUUCUGCAGUGGAUCCCUUCCGUCGAGUGGUUCUCGAAUUGUGUGUUUAUGGAUGAAUGUCGAGGUGAUAUAUCUAUAGAUUAUACAAAGUUCCAUCACUCGUUGAACCUCCUCCGGUUUUGUGUGACGAGGUCCUUGACUCGACUUAUAAUGUGAUCGAAAAAGCCUGCCCUCAACAAGUUAACUGCAAAUGUUGGGUGGCCGAACCAAGAUGACUUCGCCGAUGGACCCACGAUGAAAUCCCAAUUGAAGCCCAAUUGAAUCGAAGAGACGGCAAGCUUCAUUCGAUUACUGUCGCUAAAACAGGCGUAAUUAUACGUUUUCGCAACAUCGACCAACUAUCUCUAUGUGAAUAAUAGUUAAUCUCUGUGAAGUGAAUGCGUCCGCUUGUAUUUGCGUGCAGGACCUAACAAAGGUCCACGCUAAAAAAGUUGUCUAAAUAAUAAUCAGGCCCGCCAUCGAGGAAAGGAGACAGCUCUGAAUCGCAUCAUCGCUACAAGCGGACCCGCUCGGAAAGACGAGACGAAGAUGGAUUGGAAGCAGUGCGAACAUAAAAAGUGAAAUCAGAGACACGAUGUCGACGAAAAAAUUGAAACCGCAGACCAUUGGAGCUGGCCUACUCCGUAAAUACAUCAGAGGUAGCGUCAAGAAUUAUUUUUCAAUGAUUCAUGUAUGUCGUGCGCCUGUGAGGAGCCACCAACGUGAUGGGUAGUCGGCAGUAGUCGUUCCGCCGUUUGGAAAAUACCUUCAUAUCCUGUCGUUCUCACGAAGCGACCUUCUGGCGUCAGCGUAGGAUCUAUGAGGAUGGCCGCAGUACUACUGAAUACAAUGAAAUGUCGACCGAUCUCAUUGUUCGAUUCGUUCCUUCGCUCGAGCACGUAGCAUGCUAUCAAGUAACGGAUCUAUUAAGCAAAGCUACAACUAAAUGAACCUGAGUUGAGUGCUGAUUUUAAAUAUGACAUUCAUAGAGGAACAUGCUUUAUUUCGGCCUUGUCGCGAGACAGUUUAGCCUAUGAACGGUAGCCUUAAUAAGUCUGCGGUUAACGGAGCCCCGUGAAAUCUUUCCGUCAUGUUGUGCACUAUACGGACGCGAAUUGCUUAAUCAACAGAACAGCAAAGACUCGAAUGGCUAUAAUAAUUAACAACAUAGUAGUUAAGUCAGGUGGUUUGCCUAUAAGCAGUGGGCCCUUUCAAGGCCCGGCUGCAUACGUUUGCCGACAUGACACGACACUUACGAUAGAUGGCGAACGACCCUAUGAACCUUGAGUAACCGCCUCACCAUAAUAUUAUUCUACCAUUUACGUCUAUUUUUCGUAAAAUAUAGAAAUCUGCAUUAACUCACGGUAUCGUACAUCAAUCAGCUUGCUACACUUUGUACUUAAUCUAUCGGUUUUCCUCAGAUUUCAUUCAGUUGCAACCAGAAAACAUCACAGAAUCCUUUAAUGGAAGCCGUCAAAAAGCUUCGACAAUUACGCGAAGACGCUGAAACAAUCAACCGCUGCUAUCCAGUACUACUAGUUUUUUAAACUUCUAAAUUUCAACAGGAAAAUUAUUAUUAUUAUUCUGCCGAAACUCUUCACAAGCCAUCGUUAUUCAUACUGUCGUAUAUUGAUCAUCGUCAUCAACGUAAUACUUGUUCUUUAUAAGACUUUGUACUGGGUUUACUAUUUUAGCUCGUAGCCAACAACUUCUGCGCCUGCUAAACAUAAGAUCGCGUCUGCUUCUUAUUUACAACAUUGGUCGCUGUAAUGGUACUGUCUCUUUUGUCAUGUACAAUUGAAACCGACUCUUCGUCACGUGGCUGUCCACCUAUUACACGUGAUGAUGACGGUCGCUCUUCCCAUCGUGGUCUCGUGUUUUGUCUGGCUUUCGAUAGAGAUUUCAUUACACAGUCAUUUUCCUUCAUAUCUCAAAAUUUCGAGACACGCGAGCGAUGACGUAGUCCUUCAUCGACUUCUCUCUAUCCUAUUACCGUCUUUGGAUCGCGCCUUUAGGAAGGGCGAUGUCCGAAGAUCCAGCUAGGUAGAGCAAGGUCGUCGGAACGUAUCAGUUCGAAAAAAAUCACGAUACCGGCAAGUAUAAUCGUACGCCUGUCUUCCAUGACCUUCGUACGAAGAUGUCCAACUGGUGAUCGUCGUUCUAUACAAAUUGGCUUUAACCUGCCGGAAUUAAUCUUAUGUCAUUUAAGGAGGAGCCGUAAAGUGAUUCGGGACAGCGUUGGGUCGGUGGCCGUAACUUGACAGCCAUCAACAUUCAAUGAAGAUCAAUUAGGUCAAAAACAAAUCGUGUCUAAAGUGACCAACAAAAGUAAAAUUUAACAAUGAUAAUUAUCUCUUGAAUAGAAAACGGAGAACAGCAUGUAGUUAAAAAUGCACGUGGCAUGUAGAAAGUUUCUAAACUGAGCGUAGGCGUGUGAUGGUAUACCAGAUUGAAGAUAGUUCAUUUUACCGCGGUGUUGCUUCAAGGGUAUAAUCAGUUAAGCCAUAUGAAUGGGCAGGCAAUACCCGUUAUGGCAGGGCCAGUUGUGGCGUCGCUUGAAUACGAUUACAAGGAAAGUACCAGUUCACAGGACACAUGCCCAUUGGGUCAUGGCCCAGAGCUCUAACCCAACUCGACCAGAUCAAGAGAAUCAUUUAAAACAGAAUAUAGGUUGAAUAAGUAGUAUUUAUGUAUUGGCCAUGCCCAACAGCUCGUCAAGAGAAAACAAGACAACAAUAUAUUAUCAUCGUAAUUGAGCUGUUUGGGCAAAUUCUAUGCCGUCGAUUGAAAUGUGUUUUUUCGCUUGUGUUUUUUGGAAAAACGUGUUUACAGAAGCGAGUUAGCAAGGCAGCUAGAACUUG